AAUUGAGAAGUGAUUAAUGUAUCAAUUGCAAGCAUCUCUGGCAGAGCUUAGUAGAAGGAGAUACUGGGGAGCGGGAAGGGAGUAGGGUCUUAAUAUGUGUUCCACACAUCAGUGCCUCUGAAACUGCAUUGGAUAUGAGUCACUUGGGACUUUGGUUAAAAUGCAGAUUCUGAUGCAUUUGAUCUGGGGUGGGGCUUGAGUCUGCAUUUCUAAAGCUCCCGGAUACUGCUGGACCUUGGACCACACUUUGCGUAACAAAGCACAACAUCCCCUGGCUGUUUCUGCCCCCGACACAGAAAGGGUAGAGGCAGGAGUGGCCUGAUUCAUUGAGCUUCCUUCUUGGACCACAUUUCACUGGUUCUGCUGCAGCUGGAAUCCCACUUGAUCCAUCAGGUGCAUCUUCCCCAGCAUCCUGGAAGCACCUCUCCUGGAAAGACAAACAAAGGCCCACUCUAGGGAAGCUUCUAUCCAGGGCAUGGUGGGUGAGAGAUUGCAUAGCUCCCCAGGAUUUCACCAGCAAGAAUUCCAUCUCCACCGGCUGCUCCCCUUCUCAUGUUUGGACAAUGAUGAUGAAAGGCCCACAGGUUUCCAGCUAAGUGUUGGAGACCGGCUGGCAGCCUUGAAAAUGCCAGCUUUUCCAGAGGUUGAUAAGCACCGGGGAAAUAUUUUUCAUGCUGAGCAGGGCUACACAAAUUGCCCAGCAUCUGGAACAAAUUGCUGUGUGGGUACCUGGGCUGCCAAGGAGCAGGUGAGAAGAGGCUGCCAUCAGACCAAGAAAGAGCCUCCUGAUUGCAGGCAGUGGAGAAGCCCACUGGGAUGCUGUGUGGCCUCCGUGUCCAGUGGUGGAAGCAGCAUUUCCCCAGAGCCAAGAGGAGGAGAGGACGAAGUCCACCCAAUGGCAACCCAGGGGAGAGGGUUUUGCUGAGAGUGUGGAAAAUGGAUUCUGAUCAUUGGAUUUGCCUGCAUGGAUCAUGCUGAGCUCCAAGCACCAGAUACAAAUGAUAGCACAGGCGACCAUGGCUAUGCUACUGCCCCCCGCCCCUAGAGCCUCUGGUACCAGGGCUAGUCCCAUAGGCGCAUUAUCAGCAAAUUCUCCUAAUAGCUCUUUGAAACUGGCAUCAGAGAGCAGGACCCGCAAGACAGCCACAGAUCCUGACAACAACCAGCCCUGUCAUCCCCUCGUGUCAAUGAAGGAUGGGCUGCUGGGAGCAAUGCGUGGGGUCCUCAGCCAGCGCCAGACUAACGUGCCCACCUUUGUGCAUGGGUCCUGCCGUACCAUUGUCUUACAUCCCCACCCAGGUUUUUCUGCUUCACUCUUCAUCCACCACCACCUCCAAACGCAUCCCAUCCGCUGCUGAGCCUCGUCUUCUCCAACAGAACAAGCUCUGGGCUGCGCAUCCCCCAGCCCCUGGCCCCUGCAUCUCCUCGGAAAGACCCCAGCCAGGCCUCCCUGAUCAGGUGAUGUCCCACGAGGUGACACUCUCCUCCCCAUUUAUCACACAACAAAAACUCUUGGGGAAAAAUAAAUUAAGUCCAGACUGGGAAAAAAAAAAUAGCAGCCCUUUCCUCCAAGUUAAUUAAUUUGAGCACUAUUUUCAGGAAAAGCGGUUCUUAAAUCCCUAUCGCUGAAGGCAAUUUUCUUGCCACAAUCACUCAGUGUCCCUGACAGAAAGGAGCAUAAUCGCUCCUUGACAGAAGGUGACUGGCAGAAAGAAGGCCGAGGGGAAAGCGGAUUUCCGCAGCCACGGGAGGGGCCGCAGAGGCCCUGGAGGACCCGCUCCCCAAGCCCAGGGAAACCCCAGUGUCUGAUGAACACGGCUAUCUCUGCAGAAAGUGACUGCUGUGGGCACGUGGUGUGUGGCUGGGUGUGCACGUGUGUACUUAUGUGUGCAAGUCCUUGUAUGCAAGCACACGUGUGCACGUGUGCAUGCCUGCCUGUGUCUGUGCAUGCGUGGAUGUAUGGGUGCUGGUAGGGAGAGGGAAUAGCAGAGUUUUUGCAUGCACGGGACCCUGGGUGUGGGCACCCUGACCUCCCAGCACAUGUGUAUAGCCUGGGACGCCCUCCGCAAGCCCUAGAGGCUGCUUGACUCAGAUUGGGUCCUUUCCUGCUUCUGGGCUUGGCCUCCUUUCAAGCCCAGGUCCAGAUGGCCUCUCUCUCUCUCUCUCUCUCUCUCUCUCUCUCUCUCUCUCUCUCUCUCCCUCUCAGGCAUGGAAUUGACCAUUAUUGAUGGGAAAAUGAUGAUGGAGCUUUUUCCCCCUCUUAGAAAUAAGGGUAAAAUCUAGGGUCAGUGCCCAGGUUCCCUUAGCCAUUAAGGGUAAAAAUAGCUUCCAUUAAUCAAGCAACCAGUCACUAAGCUAAGCACUUCUGCAUUUGCACGCGUUACUUCUUAGAUUCCCUUGCACACCCCUGAUCACAAGGUCCACAGGGGAGGAAACUGAGGCUCAAAGUCAGCAUGACUCACCUGUCAUGCACACAGCCAGGCCUCCAGCCCAGUCGCCUGGACUGUCAGAGCUCCCUGUGCUGAACCGCUGCACCGCCCUGGAGCUGGUUACCAGGUCCUGGACCUCCCUCCAGCCGGUCCUCCUGCCAAAGGAACCGCAGUCCCUGGACACCCUUGACCAGGAAGAAUGUCACAACCAGGGCUGCUUCUUCCCCCUAGAACCUAAGAGCUCUCCACAGACUUUCCCAGCUGGAGGACAGACUGCACGCUGCUUCUGAGGGGUUAGCGUGAUGCUGAGGAGACAGAGAUGACUUGAGCCCUGGCCCCUUUGCUCGUUACAGCGGUGGCUCUCUUACGUCAUCUUAGAGCUGUGAUCAUGCAGGAGCAACCAGAGGGCAAAAUAAUUGCCUCUUCGGGUGUUUUGAGCUUUAAAUGAGAGAAUGUAUUUAAAUGGCUUAACAUCGUGACCUGCUUGUGUUCUGUGGUACAAACAACAUGUAAAGAAUAAAGAAUUGUUCAGGA
This 2963-nucleotide long non-coding RNA is filed under the name Sus scrofa (pig). RNAcentral's name for it is "lncRNA (ENSSSCG00015033089.1)". Lineage: Eukaryota; Metazoa; Chordata; Mammalia; Artiodactyla; Suidae. The record is from RNAcentral.